UACGAAGGGGGCUAGCGUUGUUCGGAAUUACUGGGCGUAAAGCGCGCGCAGGCGGUCUUCCAAGUCAGUGGUGAAAGCCCGGAGCUCAACUCCGGAACUGCCAUUGAAACUGUAAGACUUGAGGACGAGAGAGGUGAGUGGAAUUCCCAGUGUAGAGGUGAAAUUCGUAGAUAUUGGGAAGAACACCAGUGGCGAAGGCGGCUCACUGGCUCGUAUCUGACGCUCAGGCGCGACAGCGUGGGGAGCGAACAGG
Molecule: ribosomal RNA, 253 nt
Filed under: uncultured bacterium
Lineage: Bacteria
Description: partial 16S ribosomal RNA
Rfam family: Bacterial small subunit ribosomal RNA
Source: RNAcentral